UGGGGAAUAUUGGACAAUGGGCGAAAGCCUGAUCCAGCCAUGCCGCGUGUGUGAAGAAGGUCUUCGGAUUGUAAAGCACUUUAAGUUGGGAGGAAGGGCAGUAAGCGAAUACCUUGCUGUUUUGACGUUACCGACAGAAUAAGCACCGGCUAACUCUGUGCCAGCAGCCGCGGUAAUACAGAGGGUGCAAGCGUUAAUCGGAAUUACUGGGCGUAAAGCGCGCGUAGGUGGUUCGUUAAGUUGAAUGUGAAAGCCCCGGGCACAACCUGGGAACUGCAUCCAAAACUGGCGAGCUAGAGUAGGGCAGAGGGUGGUGGAAUUUCCUGUGUAGCGGUGAAAUGCGUAGAUAUAGGAAGGAACACCAGUGGCGAAGGCGACCACCUGGGCUCAUACUGACACUGAGGUGCGAAAGCGUGGGGAGCAAACAGG
RNAcentral lists this ribosomal RNA (429 nucleotides) under Pseudomonadota bacterium. RNAcentral describes it as "Proteobacteria bacterium partial 16S ribosomal RNA". It matches the Rfam family "Bacterial small subunit ribosomal RNA", at positions 355 to 776 of the family's 1533-position model. The record is from RNAcentral. Lineage: Bacteria; Pseudomonadati; Pseudomonadota.